CCUAGGGUGGCUGCAGUAGGGGAUCUUCGGCAAUGGGCGAAAGUCUGACCGAGCAACGCCGGCUGGGGGAAGAAGGUGUUCGGAUCGUAAAACUCUGUUGGUCGAGAAGAAUGUAGGUGAGAGUGGACAGCUAAUCAAGGGACGGGAACUAUCCAGAAAGGGACGGCUAACUACGUGCCAGCAGCCGCGGUAAUACGUAGGUCCCGAGCGUUGUCAGGAUGUAUGGGGCGUAAAGCGAGGGCAGGGGGUUUAGUAGGUGUGGUGUAAAAGGCAGUGGCUCAACCAGUGUAUGCAUUGGAAACUGGUAGACUUGAGUGCGGGAGGGGAGAGUGGAAUUCCAUGUGUAGCGGUGAAAUGCGUAGAUAUAUGGAGGAACACCGGUGGCGAAAGCGGCUCUCUGGACUGUAACUGACACUGAGGCUCGAAAGCGUGGGGAGCAAACAGGAUUAGAUACCCCAGUAGUC
This 464-nucleotide ribosomal RNA is filed under the name uncultured Lactococcus sp. RNAcentral's name for it is "bacterial SSU rRNA". It matches the Rfam family "Bacterial small subunit ribosomal RNA", at positions 338 to 795 of the family's 1533-position model. The record is from RNAcentral. Lineage: Bacteria; Bacillati; Bacillota; Bacilli; Lactobacillales; Streptococcaceae.